RNAcentral lists this unclassified non-coding RNA (407 nucleotides) under soil metagenome. RNAcentral's name for it is "partial contains 5.8S ribosomal RNA, internal transcribed spacer 2, and large subunit ribosomal RNA". The stretch from base 1 to 122 matches the Rfam family "5.8S ribosomal RNA", at positions 35 to 154 of the family's 154-position model. The record is from RNAcentral.
GAUGAAGAACGUAGCAAAAUGCGAUACUUGGUGUGAAUUGCAGAAUCCCGUGAACCAUCGAGUUUUUGAACGCAAGUUGCGCCCGAAGCCUUUUGGCCGAGGGCACGUCUGCCUGGGCGUCACGCAUCGCGUCGCCCCCUCCCACAAUUCUUCGCACAGGGAACUUGUGUUUUGGGGGCGGAUAUUGGUCUCCCGUGCUCAUGGCGUGGUUGGCCGAAAUAGGAGUCCCUUCGAUGGACGCACGAACUAGUGGUGGUCGUAAAAACCCUCGUCUUUUGUUUCGUGCCGUUAGUCGCGAGGGAAACUCUUAGAAAACCCCAGCGUGUCGUCUUUUGACGGCGCUUCGACCGCGACCCCAGGUCAGGCGGGACUACCCGCUGAGUUUAAGCAUAUCAAUAAGCGGAGGA